GCUUGAAGCAUUUGAUGCAAUUGC
Molecule: non-coding RNA, 24 nt
Filed under: Arabidopsis thaliana (thale cress)
Lineage: Eukaryota; Viridiplantae; Streptophyta; Magnoliopsida; Brassicales; Brassicaceae
Source: RNAcentral